RNAcentral lists this ribosomal RNA (466 nucleotides) under uncultured bacterium. Its description in RNAcentral is "partial 16S ribosomal RNA". It matches the Rfam family "Bacterial small subunit ribosomal RNA", at positions 28 to 507 of the family's 1533-position model. The record is from RNAcentral.
GAUGAACGCUGGCGGCGUGCUUAACACAUGCAAGUCGAACGAUGAAGCCCAGCUUGCUGGGUGGGCUAGUGGCGAACGGGUGAGUAACACGCGAGUAACCCGCCCUUAACUCUGGGAUAAGCCUGGGAAACUGGGUCUAAUAUCGGAGAGGAGCGUCCACCGCAUGGGGGGUGUUGGAAAGAUUUAUCGGUUUUGGAUGGACUCGCGGCCUAUCAGCUUGUUGGUGGGGUAGUGGCUCACCAAGGCGACGACGGGUAGCCGGCCUGAGAGGGUGACCGGCCACACUGGGACUGAGACACGGCCCAGACUCCUACGGGAGGCAGCAGUGGGGAAUAUUGCACAAUGGGCGGAAGCCUGAUGCAGCGACGCCGCGUGAGGGAUGACGGCCUUCGGGUUGUAAACCUCUUUCGGUAGGGAAGAAGCGAAAGUGACGGUACCUGCAGAAGAAGCACCGGCUAACUACGUG